This 429-nucleotide ribosomal RNA is filed under the name Gemmatimonadota bacterium. RNAcentral's name for it is "Gemmatimonadetes bacterium partial 16S ribosomal RNA". It matches the Rfam family "Bacterial small subunit ribosomal RNA", at positions 355 to 776 of the family's 1533-position model. The record is from RNAcentral. Lineage: Bacteria; Pseudomonadati; Gemmatimonadota.
UAGGGAAUCUUCGGCAAUGGACGAAAGUCUGACCGAGCAACGCCGCGUGAGUGAAGAAGGUUUUCGGAUCGUAAAACUCUGUUGUCAGAGAAGAACAAGGACGUUAGUAACUGAACGUCCCCUGACGGUAUCUAACCAGAAAGCCACGGCUAACUACGUGCCAGCAGCCGCGGUAAUACGUAGGUGGCAAGCGUUGUCCGGAUUUAUUGGGCGUAAAGCGAGCGCAGGCGGUUUCUUAAGUCUGAUGUGAAAGCCCCCGGCUCAACCGGGGAGGGUCAUUGGAAACUGGGAGACUUGAGUGCAGAAGAGGAGAGUGGAAUUCCAUGUGUAGCGGUGAAAUGCGUAGAUAUAUGGAGGAACACCAGUGGCGAAGGCGGCUCUCUGGUCUGUAACUGACGCUGAGGCUCGAAAGCGUGGGGAGCAAACAGG